UUUGGGGAUUCUUUCUAUCCUUUCCCAUUGUGUCUUCUGUCUGUUAUCAUCUGGAAGAAGACUCCAGAGUCUGUGGGCCAAAACCAGCAUUCUUGGUGACAGCUUUAUCCGGUGGUUGGUGCCAUUCUUAGAGUGAGGUUGGUGAUGUUCCUAUCAAAUCUAGACUGCACAGAGAGACAUCUAGCAAACCCUGGAGGUUGAAGAAAGAUGAUAAUAUCUUAAAACACAACCUAUCAAGAAGAUAGUAGAGGGAACUAGGAGUGUGUACUAAGGAUUGCACCUCCAGCGACCCUUAAUUUAAGAUGUGGUGAGUUGAGUCCAUCAUUGAGGAAACGGAGGGAUUACUGGUGUUUUUAUGGAACCGAAAGGAAAUGAAAACUCAGCCUAGUGUAGGGCUGAGAGUUGGUGUCUUAUUUACUGCCUAAAAACCCAGACCUAUAUCUCUAUCUGUAAUCAGUGUUCAAAGUGAGACAACAGGAUGUGAAUAUCCGCUAUCUGACCACAGAGGCUGUUACUCCAGCAGCACUUCUGUCAGCACAGUGAGCCACAGUCAGUCUUAGCUCAGUCCUACAGAUCCAUCAUUGAAAGCAUCCUCACACCAUCCAUCACAGGCUGAUAUGGCUCUGCCUCCUGCUGCUUCAAGGGAAGCGUGUCAUUCAAACCACAGAGGGGGUUAUCAAGAGCUGACUGCACUGCAUCACGCAUGCACACGCACACACGCACACAAACAUCUGCACAGUAACAGAGCGGGAAAAUGGUACAAAUUUCUCUCAACUCCCAACAACUUGGAGUCACCCAACAGGUGGCCUAAAGAUGAAACUUCUGUUAUGGGCAAAAACGUUUUUUUUUUAUUCACAACACUAGAAAACAACAGGCUGUUUCUAUGGGGGUUAAACUACAUUUAUCUGCAAUUUAAUGGGAGGAUUUAAAGCAGCUCACACUGUCUUUACAUUUAUGCCACCCCUGGUAAAAAUACGGAAUCACUACUUGUAGAAAUAGUGAUUUUUGUUUCUGGUAUAUAGUAAAACAAGUAAGUGUACAUCCUACAAGAGAAUGGUUUAUUUUACAUUGGUAGAAAACCUAAACAGUUUUAAUGUAUUUAUUACCUUUUUAUUUUUACAUUCUACAAAGCAAUAUUUUCAUCAUUGGUUAAUGAUGGUACCGAUGAUGAAUGAGUUAAAGAUGUAUCAUAGAUGUAUCAUAUAUUUGUGUCUCUCACUGAAAAUUAAAAUCUAAAUGGUAGUAAAUAUUAAAACUUUUUUGAAAUGUUGUAAACAGAUUCCUAUAAGCAUGUCUGGAGUAAAGUAGGUUUUAACAACAAACCUUGAAAUCAAAACGACUAAUUCUGUGUUAUUUCCAUAUAAUUUUUUUGUCUUUUUUUCCCACAAUGUGAAUGAUAUUGCCAUGUUGUUCAG
Non-coding RNA from Poecilia reticulata (guppy), 1415 nucleotides. The record is from RefSeq and is a predicted model, not a curated record. Lineage: Eukaryota; Metazoa; Chordata; Actinopteri; Cyprinodontiformes; Poeciliidae.